AUUGAACGCUGGCGGCAGGCCUAACACAUGCAAGUCGAACGGUAACAGGAAGCAGCUUGCUGCUUCGCUGACGAGUGGCGGACGGGUGAGUAAUGUCUGGGAAACUGCCUGAUGGAGGGGGAUAACUACUGGAAACGGUAGCUAAUACCGCAUAACGUCGCAAGACCAAAGAGGGGGACCUUAGGGCCUCUUGCCAUCGGAUGUGCCCAGAUGGGAUUAGCUAGUAGGUAGGGUAACGGCUCACCUAGGCGACGAUCCCUAGCUGGUCUGAGAGGAUGACCAGCCACACUGGAACUGAGACACGGUCCAGACUCCUACGGGAGGCAGCAGUGGGGAAUAUUGCACAAUGGGCGCAAGCCUGAUGCAGCCAUGCCGCGUGUAUGAAGAAGGCCUUCGGGUUGUAAAGUACUUUCAGCGGGGAGGAAGGGAGUAAAGUUAAUACCUUUGCUCAUUGACGUUACCCGCAGAAGAAGCACCGGCUAACUCCGUG
This 490-nucleotide ribosomal RNA is filed under the name uncultured bacterium. Its description in RNAcentral is "partial 16S ribosomal RNA". It matches the Rfam family "Bacterial small subunit ribosomal RNA", at positions 30 to 507 of the family's 1533-position model. The record is from RNAcentral.